AUGAGAUUGACAUCAGCCCCAUUGCUUUCACUUCCUGAUUUUGGUAAGACAUUUGAGAUUGAAUGUGAUGCAAGUGGUGUUGGCAUUGGUGGAGUUCUAAUGCAAGAAGGUAAACCUAUUGCCUACUUUAGUGAGAAGCUUAAUGGUCCAACUCUUAAUUAUUCCGUCUAUGAUAAAGAAUUGUAUGCACUUGUUCAAUCUUUGAAAACAUGGCAACAUUACUUGUGGCCAAAAGAAUUUGUAAUACAUUCUGACCAUGAAUCUUUAAAACAUCUAAAGGGCCAACUCAAACUGAACCGUAGACAUGCAAAAUGGAGUGAGUUCAUAGAGUCCUUUCCUUAUAUUGUCAAAUACAAGAAAUGGAAGGAUAACGUUGUUGCCGACGCAUUGUCUAGGCGUCACAUUUUACUUUCCCAACUUGGUGUUAAAAUCCUUGGUUUAGAAAGCAUCAAAGAAUUGUAUGCUAACGACUCAUACUUUGCUGAACCAUUUUCAAAGUGUAACAAGGGAAUGGGGUGGGAUAAGCUUCAUUUGCAUGAUGGAUUUCUAUUUCGAGCUAACAAAUUGUGCAUCCCAGAUUGCUCUGUUCGUUUGUUGCUAUUGCAGGAGGCUCAAGCUGGUGGUCUCAUCAGACAUUUUGGAGCCAAGAAAACUGAAAGUGUGCUCGUUGAUCACUUCCUUUGGCCGCGAAUGAGACGUGACGUGGAACGCUACGUGAUGAGAUGCGAGAUUUGUCACAAAGCUAAGUCCCGCUUGAAUCCUCAUGGUUUAUAUACUCCUCUAUCUAUUCCAAAUACUCCGUGGGAAGAUAUUUCUAUGGAUUUUGUUCUUGGUUUACCACAGACUAAGAGGGGGAGUGACUCGGUGUUUGUGGUAGUUGAUCGUUUUAUAAUAAUGGCACAUUUUAUCCCAUGUCAUAAGAGCAAUGAUGUUUCACACAUUGUUGAUCUAUUUUUCAGGGAAAUUGUGCGGCUACAUGGAGUACCACGCAUGACUGUGUCAGACCGUGACACCAAAUUUCCGAGCUACUUUUGGAAGACCUUGUGGGGAAAACUUGGCACCAAGCUCCUAUUUUCCAUGACAUGCCACCCACAAACUGACGGACAGACUGAAGUUGUCAACCAAACAAAGUCCAUGAUGCUACGAGCAGUCCUCAAGAAGAAUUUCAAGAUGUGGGAAGAGUGUCUACCUCAUGUGGAGUUCGCGUAUAACUGGGCGGUACAUUAG
RNAcentral lists this ribosomal RNA (1227 nucleotides) under Triticum aestivum (bread wheat). Its description in RNAcentral is "partial small subunit ribosomal RNA". The record is from RNAcentral. Lineage: Eukaryota; Viridiplantae; Streptophyta; Magnoliopsida; Poales; Poaceae.